Molecule: long non-coding RNA, 1001 nt
Organism: Papaver somniferum (opium poppy)
Lineage: Eukaryota; Viridiplantae; Streptophyta; Magnoliopsida; Ranunculales; Papaveraceae
Exons: 2
Source: RefSeq, a predicted model, not a curated record
ACUCAAACACACUCCAUGUAUUUGUUUCUUGUACAACUCUAUGUAUGUCUGGCAAAGUUAUAUAGAAUCAGUGUUGCUUCUUUGUUGAGCCUCUCCUAUUUCUUCAUGGAUUUUUUUUUUAUUUGAUCGGCUUUCUUCUUCUUCAUGGAUUCUCAGGAGGUAAAGCCUUCUUUCUUUUUGGUCCUUUAUUAACUUUGAACCCGGCUUCCAAUAUCCCAGAUCCAACUUUAGUGUUAAGAAAUAAUGGAAAGAAACAUUCACUUUAAUUAUUUGAAAUCAAUCUUCUAAUAGGAUUACUUAUUUCUUUCUCUCUCAGGUUGCGGCUGAUAGGUAUUUGACGACCCCCCCAGAGCAGCAAGAAAAUUAUCACUAUCAUCAAAUUGCGCUUGCAGAAUGACCACGGAGUCAUGAAACGAUAUAAUGUUUGCUAUCAUCCUCGAAAGAGGGUUGCGCAGUUUACAACCGUGCGUUCUUCUUCCAGCAACUACAACAACUUUCUAGAUCACGCCAUUUUAGAAACUCUCCGCAACUCACAGGAUCACGACGUUUUUAUAACUUCCAGCAGCGACGUUUGAGUAGCUUUCAGCAACUUUCUGGAUCGCGAUAAGAUCUUUCAGCAACUCUAUGGAUCACAACGCUCUCUGUUAUAAUACCUUCAACAGCAUCUGGGACUUCUGCAACAUUUAUCCAGGACGUUGUAAACUUUCAGCAACUCUGGAGCAUAACGUUCUCAUCAAAUUACCUUCAACAACCUUUCUCUCUUUCUGCAACUCUGGAUCGUAACGUUAUGGAACACAACGUUUCUGAGAACUUUUUGCAACUCUAGAUCGCAAUGUUCUGGAUCACAACUUUUCUGAGAACUUUCUGCAACUUUUCUGGAAACGCUGUGAAUUGUUUUUUUUCAUUCUUUUGAAACCCUAAUCUUCGAAAAAACUUGGAAAGAAAAACUUUUCUAAAAGGGGGAGCAUGAUCUUUUGCUCGGUCCCCUUAGUUGGCGCCAA